GACGAACGCUGGCGGCGUGCCUAAUACAUGCAAGUCGAACGCUUCUUUCCUCCCGAGUGCUUGCACUCAAUUGGAAAGAGGAGUGGCGGACGGGUGAGUAACACGUGGGUAACCUACCCAUCAGAGGGGGAUAACACUUGGAAACAGGUGCUAAUACCGCAUAACAGUUUAUGCCGCAUGGCAUAAGAGUGAAAGGCGCUUUCGGGUGUCGCUGAUGGAUGGACCCGCGGUGCAUUAGCUAGUUGGUGAGGUAACGGCUCACCAAGGCCACGACGCAUAGCCGACCUGAGAGGGUGAUCGGCCACACUGGGACUGAGACACGGCCCAGACUCCUACGGGAGGCAGCAGUAGGGAAUCUUCGGCAAUGGACGAAAGUCUGACCGAGCAACGCCGCGUGAGUGAAGAAGGUUUUCGGAUCGUAAAACUCUGUUGUUAGAGAAGAACAAGGACGUUAGUAACUGAACGUCCCCUGACGGUAUCUAACCAGAAAGCCACGGCUAACUACGUG
Molecule: ribosomal RNA, 508 nt
Filed under: uncultured bacterium
Lineage: Bacteria
Description: partial 16S ribosomal RNA
Rfam family: Bacterial small subunit ribosomal RNA
Source: RNAcentral